RNAcentral lists this ribosomal RNA (460 nucleotides) under uncultured bacterium. RNAcentral describes it as "partial 16S ribosomal RNA". It matches the Rfam family "Bacterial small subunit ribosomal RNA", at positions 338 to 795 of the family's 1533-position model. The record is from RNAcentral.
CCUACGGGUGGCAGCAGUGAGGAAUAUUGGUCAAUGGCCGUAAGGCUGAACCAGCCAAGUCGCGUGAAGGAAGAAGGAUCUAUGGUUUGUAAACUUCUUUUGUACCGGGGUAAAAUGCUCUACGAGUAGGGUUUUGAAAGUACGGUACGAAUAAGGAUCGGCUAACUCCGUGCCAGCAGCCGCGGUAAUACGGAGGAUCCGAGCGUUAUCCGGAUUCAUUGGGUUUAAAGGGUGCGUAGGUUGUUUUAUAAGUUAGCGGUGAAAUACCGAUGCUCAACAUCGGGGCUGCCGCUGAUACUGUAGGACUAGAGAUCGGAUGCAGCAGGCGGAAUGUGUAGUGUAGCGGUGAAAUGCAUAGAUAUUACACAGAACACCGAUUGCGAAGGCAGCUUGCUAGGCCGGAUCUGACACUGAUGCACGAAAGCGUGGGGAUCGAACAGGAUUAGAUACCCUUGUAGUC